This 463-nucleotide ribosomal RNA is filed under the name uncultured bacterium. Its description in RNAcentral is "SSU rRNA". It matches the Rfam family "Bacterial small subunit ribosomal RNA", at positions 26 to 521 of the family's 1533-position model. The record is from RNAcentral.
AGGAUGAACGCUGGCGGCAGGCCUAAUACAUGCAAGUCGAACGGACCCUUCGGGGUUAGUGGCGGACGGGUGAGUAACACGUGGGAACGUGCCCUUUGGUUCGGAACAACUCAGGGAAACUUGAGCUAAUACCGAAUGUGCCCCCAUCCUUAAACAAGAUGGGUGGGAAAGAUUUAUCGCCAUUGGAGCGGCCCGCGUCUGAUUAGCUAGUUGGUGAGGUAAAGGCUCACCAAGGCGACGAUCAGUAGCUGGUCUGAGAGGAUGAUCAGCCACACUGGGACUGAGACACGGCCCAGACUCCUACGGGAGGCAGCAGUAGGGAAUCUUGCGCAAUGGGCGAAAGCCUGACGCAGCCAUGCCGCGUGAAUGAUGAAGGUCUUAGGAUUGUAAAAUUCUUUCAGCGGGACGAUAAUGACGGUACCGCAGAAGAAGCCCCGGCUAACUUCGUGCCAGCAGCCGCGGU